GGCGGGUGAGCGGCACGAAUUCCUGGCCGUCCGCCUCCUACCACGGCUGGCCGUGGUCUCCGAGCGCUCGCCCCACAGCGCCCCAGCACCCGAGGACAGUGCCGUGGCCCACACGUCCGUCCACCGGCACCAGCCCCAUGGCCGAGCGCGGGGAACUCGAUCUCACCGGUGCCAAGCAGAACACCGGCGUGUGGCUGGUCAAGGUUCCCAAAUAUUUGUCACAGCAGUGGGCUAAAGCCCCUGGCAGAGGUGAAGUCGGAAAGCUGCGGAUUGCCAAGAAUCAAGGAAGGACUGAGGUGUCAUUUACUUUGAAUGAAGAUCUUGCAAAUAUUCAUGAUAUUGGUGGGAAACCAGCUUCAGUCAGUGCUCCCCGAGAACAUCCAUUUGUUUUGCAAAGUGUUGGAGGACAGACCCUAACAGUAUUCACCGAGAGCUCAUCAGAUAAACUGUCUUUGGAAGGAAUCGUGGUCCAAAGAGCUGAAUGCCGCCCUGCUGCCAGUGAGAACUACAUGAGAUUAAAGAGGUUGCAAAUAGAGGAAUCUUCCAAACCUGUAAGACUAUCACAACAACUGGAUAAAGUUGUAACAACCAAUUACAAACCUGUUGCUAAUCAUCAACACAAUAUUGAAUAUGAAAGGAAGAAGAAGGAAGAUGGAAAGCGAGCUCGAGCUGAUAAGCAGCAGGUGUUGGACAUGCUGUUUUCAGCCUUUGAGAAGCAUCAGUAUUACAACCUGAAGGACCUGGUGGACAUCACCAAGCAGCCCGUGGGCUACCUGAAGGAAAUCUUGAAAGAAAUUGGUACUCAGAAUGUAAAAGGGAUCCACAAGAACACGUGGGAGCUGAAGCCGGAAUACAGACACUACCAAGGAGAAGAGAAGAGCGAGUAGACCUGCGCGGGGCAGACCUGCUGGUGGAGCCGCUGCGAGCUGAGCCGAGGCCGCAGUGCUGCUUCCCAACUCCGAGCACCCGGCUCGCUGCCAGCCUGUUUCUCUUGAACUCUUGCUCUAAAAAUGACUAAAGCAGGACUCCAAAGCCCUGUGGUUGCUGUGAGGGGUGCUCCAGUCCGCAUUGGCCACAGCGGGGAAAGGCGGGGGGAGGCUUCCAAGGAAGAUGUACAUCUCUGGUAAGGUGCCCCGUCCUAAGAGGACCGCAUUUAAUAGGUGAGCUGGUUAAGCUCAGUACAUACGGGGGUGUUUUAAAUGUCAUAUGAUUAUGGUUGCUCAGCCUUGGGAAGAUCUGAGAUUGUUGCCACAGUAACUUCUAGCGUGAUAAAUCUCAACAGGUGAACGUUAUGCUCUGCUGUGUCGUGGAUGGCUCUUACAGGUUUCAGCAGAGUUGUGGUUGCUCAUAAUGGUCUGUGAAAAAGUUUUCAUAGGAAUUUGUUUUUAUCAUUGCUUGUGAGAACUAGAAAGUGUUGGUGUUAUGGAACUGUUUCUUACUCAACAUACGUCAUGAGCGCUGGACACUCUUGGGUUAAAAUCUCCCCGUGGGACAAAAUCAGAGUGUCCUUUACCAGAAUUUUUGUCCCCACCCCCCAGUCCAGCUCCCAAGC
This is an RNA transcript of Ochotona curzoniae (black-lipped pika), 1552 nucleotides long. It is a transcript of the gene named general transcription factor IIF subunit 2, with no coding region annotated. The transcript has 9 exons. Lineage: Eukaryota; Metazoa; Chordata; Mammalia; Lagomorpha; Ochotonidae. The record is from RefSeq and is a predicted model, not a curated record.